UCCGGUUUGUCACCGGCAGUCUCCCUAGAGUGCCCAACUAAAUGAUGGCAAAUAAGGACAAGGGUUGCGCUCGUUACGGGACUUAACCCAACAUCUCACGACACGAGCUGACGACAGCCAUGCAGCACCUGUCACUCGGUUCCCGAAGGCACCAAUCCAUCUCUGGAAAGUUCCGAGGAUGUCAAGACCAGGUAAGGUUCUUCGCGUUGCGUCGAAUUAAACCACAUGCUCCACCGCUUGUGCGGGCCCCCGUCAAUUCAUUUGAGUUUUAAUCUUGCGACCGUACUCCCCAGGCGGUCAACUUAGCGCGUUAGCUACGCCACUAAGAACACUAAGGUUCCCAACGGCUAGUUGACAUCGUUUACAGCGUGGACUAC
This 377-nucleotide unclassified non-coding RNA is filed under the name uncultured Oceanospirillales bacterium. RNAcentral's name for it is "contains 16S-23S intergenic spacer region". Lineage: Bacteria; Pseudomonadati; Pseudomonadota; Gammaproteobacteria; Oceanospirillales. The record is from RNAcentral.